GCCACAUUUACACAACAAGGAAAGAAAAUGCCACCCAUGCACUGGCAACUCAAAUUAUGCCUAUAAAAUUUGCUUGUUUGUGAAUAUAGGAACCAUAUACGACAUAUAUACAUCUAACCCUCUUGAGAACUUGCCCACUACUUCAAGCUUUCCAUUUAUCACCUUAAAUUUAAUUCUUGAUUGGUGCCGUGUUUGAUAAAGUUGAAUGACACAAAAUAAUUCAUAUAGAUGAUCCCAACUAAUUUGUGAUUAAAGUUUAGUUGUUGUUGCUAGUAUCAAACAAGCAACUAUUAGGUUUAGUGACAUAUGUCAUUUAGAGACUUGAUU
RNAcentral lists this unclassified non-coding RNA (327 nucleotides) under Hevea brasiliensis (rubber tree). The record is from RNAcentral. Lineage: Eukaryota; Viridiplantae; Streptophyta; Magnoliopsida; Malpighiales; Euphorbiaceae.